This 373-nucleotide long non-coding RNA is filed under the name Rattus norvegicus (Norway rat). RNAcentral's name for it is "long non-coding RNA NONRATT018301". Lineage: Eukaryota; Metazoa; Chordata; Mammalia; Rodentia; Muridae. The record is from RNAcentral.
UGCUCUUCUGCACCAGGCAUCUGCUCUGAUCUUUAUGUUUUCCAGUCUUGUCUAGCAGUGUUUAAAGGACAAGGAACCAAAGAAUAUGAAAUUCAUCACGGAAAGAAGAUUCUAUACGAUAUACUUGCUUUUGCCAAAGAAAGUGUUAAUUCGCACGUUACCACACUUGGACCUCAGAACUUCCCUGCAAGUGACAAAGAACCGUGGCUUGUUGACUUCUUUGCCCCUGUGAGUUAUUUUUAUCUGUCAAGUUUCCAAAAGCCGUUUUCUUGACAACAUGAACGCUAGUACUACAGUUGUUCCUGCUUCUCCUUACGGGCUCUCCCGGGAUAGUGUUAGGCAGCACACCCACUGGACUGUGUGUCAGUAGUAG